AUACGGAGGGUCCAAGCGUUAUCCGGAAUCAUUGGGUUUAAAGGGUCCGCAGGCGGUCAAUUAAGUCAGAGGUGAAAGCCCAUCGCUCAACGAUGGAACUGCCUUUGAUACUGGUUGACUUGAGUUAUACGGAAGUAGAUAGAAUAAGUAGUGUAGCGGUGAAAUGCAUAGAUAUUACUUAGAAUACCGAUUGCGAAGGCAGUCUACUACGUAUAUACUGACGCUGAGGGACGAAAGCGUGGGGAGCGAACAGGAGUAGAAACCCCGGUAGUCC
This 274-nucleotide ribosomal RNA is filed under the name uncultured bacterium. RNAcentral's name for it is "partial 16S ribosomal RNA". It matches the Rfam family "Bacterial small subunit ribosomal RNA", at positions 523 to 796 of the family's 1533-position model. The record is from RNAcentral.